UACGAAGGGGGCUAGCGUUGCUCGGAAUUACUGGGCGUAAAGGGCGCGUAGGCGGACAGUUUAGUCAGAUGUAAAAGCCCAGGGCUCAACCUUGGAACUGCCUUUGAUACUGGCUGUCUUGAGUACGGGAGAGGUGUGUGGAACUCCGAGUGUAGAGGUGAAAUUCGUAGAUAUUCGGAAGAACACCAGUGGCGAAGGCGACACACUGGCCCGUUACUGACGCUGAGGCGCGAAAGCGUGGGGAGCAAACAGG
This 253-nucleotide ribosomal RNA is filed under the name uncultured bacterium. Its description in RNAcentral is "partial 16S ribosomal RNA". It matches the Rfam family "Bacterial small subunit ribosomal RNA", at positions 524 to 776 of the family's 1533-position model. The record is from RNAcentral.